Long non-coding RNA from Oncorhynchus keta (chum salmon), 1626 nucleotides. RefSeq lists it as uncharacterized. Lineage: Eukaryota; Metazoa; Chordata; Actinopteri; Salmoniformes; Salmonidae. The transcript has 10 exons. The record is from RefSeq and is a predicted model, not a curated record.
UCUAUAUAGUAACCUGAAGGUAGUGGACAGGACAGCAGCUUCCUCUAUAUAGUAACCGGAAGGUAGUGGACAGGUGUUACAGCUUCCUCUAUAUAGUAACCUGAAGGUAGUGGACAGGUGAUACAGCUUCCUCUAUAUAGUAACCUGAAGGUAGUGGACAGGACAGCAGCUUCCUCUAUAUAGUAACCUGAAGGUAGUGGACAGGUGAUACAGCUUCCUCUAUAUAUUAACCUGAAGGUAGUGGACAGGUGAUACAGCUUCCUCUAUAUAGUAACCUGAAGGUAGUGGACAGGACAGCAGCUUCCUCUAUAUAGUAACCUGAAGGUAGUGGACAGGUGAUACAGCUUCCUCUAUAUAGUAACCUGAAGGUAGUGGACAGGUGAUACAGCUUCCACUAUAUAGUAACCUGAAGGUAGUGGACAGGUGAUACAGCUUCCUCUAUAUAGUAACCUGAAGGUAGUGGACAGGACAGCAGCUUCCUCUAUAUAGUAACCUGAAGGUAGUGGACAGGUGAUACAGCUUCCUCUAUAUAUUAACCUGAAGGUAGUGGACAGGACAGCAGCUUCCUCUAUAUAGUAACCUGAAGGUAGUGGACAGGUGAUACAGCUUCCUCUAUAUAUUAACCUGAAGGUAGUGGACAGGACAGCAGCUUCCUCUAUAUAGUAACCUGAAGGUAGUGGACAGGUGAUACAGCUUCCUCUAUAUAGUAACCUGAAGGUAGUGGACAGGACAGCAGCUUCCUCUAUAUAGUAACCUGAAGGUAGUGGACAGGUGAUACAGCUUCCUCUAUAUAGUAACCUGAAGGUAGUGGACAGGACAGCAGCUUCCUCUAUAUAGUAACCUGAAGGUAGUGGACAGGACAGCAGCUUCCUCUAUAUAGUAACCUGAAGGUAGUGGACAGGUGAUACAGCUUCCUCUAUAUAGUAACCUGAAGGUAGUGGACAGGACAGCAGCUUCCUCUAUAUAGUAACCUGAAGGUAGUGGACAGGUGAUACAGCUUCCUCUAUAUAGUAACCUGAAGGUAGUGGACAGGUGAUACAGCUUCCUCUAUAUAGUAACCUGAAGGUAGUGGACAGGUGAUACAGCUUCCUCUAUAUAGUAACCUGAAGGUAGUGGACAGGUGAUACAGCUUCCUCUAUAUAGUAACCUGAAGGUAGUGGACAGGUGAUACAGCUUCCACUAUAUAGUAACCUGAAGGUAGUGGACAGGUGAUACAGCUUCCUCUAUAUAUUAACCUGAAGGUAGUGGACAGGACAGCAGCUUCCUCUAUAUAGUAACCUGAAGGUAGUGGACAGGUGAUACAGCUUCCUCUAUAUAGUAACCUGAAGGUAGUGGACAGGUGAUACAGCUUCCUCUAUAUAUUAACCUGAAGGUAGUGGACAGGACAGCAGCUUCCUCUAUAUAUUAACCUGAAGGUAGUGGACAGGUGAUACAGCUUCCUCUAUAUAGUAACCUGAAGGUAGUGGACAGGUGAUACAGCUUCCUCUAUAUAUUAACCUGAAGGUAGUGGACAGGUGAUACAGCUUCCUCUAUAUAGUAACCUGAAGGUAGUGGACAGGUGAUACAGCUUCCUCUAUAUAGUAACCUGAAGGCAGAGGACAGGUGAAACUAACAGCUUCCUGUCUA